AUACGUAUGUCGCAAGCGUUAUCCGGAUUUAUUGGGCGUAAAGCGCGUCUAGGCGGCUUAGUAAGUCUGAUGUGAAAAUGCGGGGCUCAACCCCGUAUUGCGUUGGAAACUGCUAAACUAGAGUACUGGAGAGGUAGGCGGAACUACAAGUGUAGAGGUGAAAUUCGUAGAUAUUUGUAGGAAUGCCGAUGGGGAAGCCAGCCUACUGGACAGAUACCGACGCUAAAGCGCGAAAGCGUGGGUAGCAAACAGGAUUAGAUACCCUGGUAGUCCACGCCGUAAACGAUGAUUACUAGGUGUUGGGGGUCGAACCUCAGCGCCCAAGCUAACGCGAUAAGUAAUCCGCCUGAGGAGUACGUACGCAAGUAUGAAACUCAAAUGAAUUGACGGGG
Molecule: ribosomal RNA, 392 nt
Filed under: uncultured bacterium
Lineage: Bacteria
Description: partial 16S ribosomal RNA
Rfam family: Bacterial small subunit ribosomal RNA
Source: RNAcentral